This 330-nucleotide unclassified non-coding RNA is filed under the name soil metagenome. Its description in RNAcentral is "partial contains 5.8S ribosomal RNA, internal transcribed spacer 2, and large subunit ribosomal RNA". The stretch from base 1 to 121 matches the Rfam family "5.8S ribosomal RNA", at positions 35 to 154 of the family's 154-position model. The record is from RNAcentral.
GAUGAAGAACGUAGCGAAUUGCGAUAAGUAAUGUGAAUUGCAGAUUUUCAGUGAAUCAUCGAAUCUUUGAACGCACAUUGCGCCCUCUGGUAUUCCGGGGGGCAUGCCUGUUCGAGCGUCAUUAUAACCACUCAAGCUCUCGCUUGGUAUUGGGGCUCGCGGUUCCGCGGCCCCUAAAAUCAGUGGCGGUGCCUGUCGGCUCUACGCGUAGUAAUACUCCUCGCGAUUGAGUCCGGUAGGUCUACUUGCCAGCAACCCCCAAUUUUUACAGGUUGACCUCGGAUCAGGUAGGGAUACCCGCUGAACUUAAGCAUAUCAAUAAGCGGAGGA